UAACCUGCCCAAGAGAUCGGGAUAACACCUGGAAACAGAUGCUAAUACCGGAUAACAACAGAUGAUGCCUAUCAACUGUUUAAAAGAUGGUUCUGCUAUCACUCUUGGAUGGACCUGCGGUGCAUUAGCUAGUUGGUAGGGUAACGGCCUACCAAGGCGAUGAUGCAUAGCCGAGUUGAGAGACUGAUCGGCCACAUUGGGACUGAGACACGGCCCAAACUCCUACGGGAGGCAGCAGG
This 239-nucleotide ribosomal RNA is filed under the name uncultured Lactobacillus sp. Its description in RNAcentral is "partial 16S ribosomal RNA". It matches the Rfam family "Bacterial small subunit ribosomal RNA", at positions 122 to 354 of the family's 1533-position model. Lineage: Bacteria; Bacillati; Bacillota; Bacilli; Lactobacillales; Lactobacillaceae. The record is from RNAcentral.